GAUGAACGCUGGCGGCGUGCCUAAUACAUGCAAGUCGAGCGAACAGACGAGGAGCUUGCUCCUCUGACGUUAGCGGCGGACGGGUGAGUAACACGUGGAUAACCUACCUAUAAGACUGGGAUAACUUCGGGAAACCGGAGCUAAUACCGGAUAAUAUAUUGAACCGCAUGGUUCAAUAGUGAAAGACGGUUUUGCUGUAACUUAUAGAUGGAUCCGCGCCGCAUUAGCUAGUUGGUAAGGUAACGGCUUACCAAGGCGACGAUGCGUAGCCGAGCUGAGAGGGUGAUCGGCCACACGGGAACUGAGACACGGUCCAGACGCCUACGAGAGGCAGCAGUAGGGAAUCUGCCGCAAUGGGCGAAAGCCUGACGGAGCAACGCCGCGUGAGUGAUGAAGGUCUUCGGAUCGUAAAACUCUGUUAUUAGGGAAGAACAAAUGUGUAAGUAACUAUGCACGUCUUGACGGUACCUAAUCAGAAAGCCACGGCUAACUACGUG
Molecule: ribosomal RNA, 497 nt
Filed under: uncultured bacterium
Lineage: Bacteria
Description: partial 16S ribosomal RNA
Rfam family: Bacterial small subunit ribosomal RNA
Source: RNAcentral